This is a long non-coding RNA of Megalobrama amblycephala (Wuchang bream), 1233 nucleotides long. RefSeq lists it as uncharacterized. NCBI's taxonomy places the organism in Eukaryota, Metazoa, Chordata, Actinopteri, Cypriniformes, Xenocyprididae. The transcript is spliced from 2 exons. The record is from RefSeq and is a predicted model, not a curated record.
UAUAAGCAGUUGAUGACAGUCUGGCUCUGAAUUCAGUAUGGGUUGCAAGUGUUUGUUGGCUCGGUGUAAGAAUUUGACAGGUUGGCACUGGUUCCCCCGUGAUGCUGACAAAGCUAGAUUGUGGCUGCAGGCGGUGGGAUCCCCAUCAACUUUCGACACAUCAAGAUUGUUUGUGUGUAACAAGCAUUUUUCACGGGAGAGCUUUUAUAGACAUGAGGACUUUGAAGACACUGAACAAAGUUUCAAAUACCUUUCCAUCCCUACAGGGCAGCAGUUUCACUUUAGCUGCUGGCUGGAAAUAUUGAAAUUUUGCCCAGUGACUACAGCUGAAGGAGGAAGUCCAAAUAUGGUCAUUGGUGAGAUGAAUUUAUCGUGAAGUCGAACAACAAGCAGCCACGCUUCUGGGGUCUUCACACAGUCAGAUCAGAAAUGGCUAUUCAGAGUAAAUGUAGCUUCACUGUUUUAGUCAUGUGAAACAUUAAAUAAUGUAACAGUUUUUGUUAAUAAAUGUUAUUAUAAAGUGAUAAUAAUGUCUUAUAGUGAAGAAUUGUAUAGGUUGUUUUUGAACUUGAAAAAACAAAAAAAUGUGUUCAACAGUUAUAUUUUGUUGGAAAUGUAACAGGUUGUUCAUAAAUUGUAGUGACAUUAACAUUUCAAAUGAAGGAUUUAUUAUGAUUUAUCAUUUAUUAUGAUUUAAGAUUUUUUAAAUAUUUAUUAAAUCAAAUGUUAAAAUGCCUGUAGUUUAAAAUAUGCUUUAUAAAUCAAGCAAUGGUUUAAAAUAAUCUUAACAUAAUUAAAUCAGCUGACACAUCUUAAUGAGGCCUUAAAGAAAGCUAUUCUUGUUUUUGAUAUUAGUUUUUGAUCUGUCUGCUCUCCCAUCAUAGUUAUGAAUAAACAUGUAAUACAUUUUUUUUUUUUAACAUAAUAUAUAACUUUAAUAUGUGUAAUAUAUCUUUAAUAUAUUUCUAAAUGAACCAUAUAUAAGCUUUUCCAACAUUUGAAGUGAAAUCGACUGAUUGUUCUCUUUACAUAAUUUUUUGUUUUCUUGUUUUAGGAAGCAACAGAAAUUCCAAGAUAUUGAAUGUAUUGUGUUCCUUAUGUUUCAGGCUAUAAAUUUAGCUUGUGUGGUGUUUUCUCAUGAGUGUAUCUUACCAACAUCAAUUAUUCAAAUCUUUGUGGAAAGCUUGUAUUACAAAUGCAUAUUUUCAAUAAAAAAGACUUGAAGAUCUUUAA